This 353-nucleotide ribosomal RNA is filed under the name uncultured bacterium. Its description in RNAcentral is "bacterial SSU rRNA". It matches the Rfam family "Bacterial small subunit ribosomal RNA", at positions 917 to 1271 of the family's 1533-position model. The record is from RNAcentral.
GGGCCCGCACAAGCGGUGGAGCAUGUGGUUUAAUUCGAUGCAACGCGAAGAACCUUACCAGGGUUUGACAUCCUGCGAAUCUCUUGGAAACGAGAGAGUGCCUUCGGGAACGCAGUGACAGGUGGUGCAUGGCUGUCGUCAGCUCGUGUCGUGAGAUGUUGGGUUAAGUCCCGCAACGAGCGCAACCCACGUCGUUAGUUGCCAGCAUUUAGUUGGGCACUCUAACGAAACUGCCAGUGCAAACUGUGAGGAAGGUGGGGAUGACGUCAAAUCAUCACGGCCCUUACGUCCUGGGCUACACACGUGCUACAAUGGCCGGUACAGAGAGCAGCCACUUCGCAAGAAGGAGCGAA